RNAcentral lists this ribosomal RNA (520 nucleotides) under uncultured Glomus. RNAcentral describes it as "SSU rRNA". It matches the Rfam family "Eukaryotic small subunit ribosomal RNA", at positions 569 to 1089 of the family's 1831-position model. The record is from RNAcentral. Lineage: Eukaryota; Fungi; Glomeromycota; Glomeromycetes; Glomerales; Glomeraceae.
AGCAGCCGCGGUAAUUCCAGCUCCAAUAGCGUAUAUUAAAGUUGUUGCAGUUAAAAAGCUCGUAGUUGAAUUUCGGGGUCAGUAGGUUGGUCGUGCCACUGGUAUGCACUGGCCUAACUGAUUCCUCCCUCUUGUAGAACCGUAAUGCCAUUAAGUUGGUGUUGCGGGGAAACAGGACUGUUACUUUGAAAAAAUUAGAGUGUUUAAAGCAGGCUAACGCUUGAAUACAUUAGCAUGGAAUAAUGAAAUAGGACGUUCGAUCCUAUUUUGUUGGUUUCUAGGAUUGACGUAAUGAUUAAUAGGGAUAGUUGGGGGCAUUAGUAUUCAAUUGUCAGAGGUGAAAUUCUUGGAUUUAUUGAAGACUAACUACUGCGAAAGCAUUUUGCCAAGGAUGUUUUCAUUAAUCAAGAACGAAAGUUAGGGGAUCGAAGACGAUCAGAUACCGUCGUAGUCUUAACCAUAAACUAUGCCGACUAGGGAUCGGAUGAUGUUAAUUUUUUAAUGACUCAUUCGGCGCCUU